AGUGGGAAGCGCAGCACCUAAAGUAGACUGCCGAAAAAAAUGUGCGGCAAAUUGAACCAAAAAUGGUCCUGGAAACAUAGGCCAACAGAAUUGUCGGUAUGGUGGAAGCAAUUCUUUGACAAGGACAGGAGAUCCUUUUGGUUCUGUAGAGCGUCAAUGUAAUGAACAGGUCGCUCUCUUUACAGUAUCUGAGGGUUACCAGUUAACUUGUACAGACCAGAACAUUUGGGGUAUUUUGGGAGUGCUAAAAAAACACACAAGGCUUACUGAGUUGCUUCACCAUCUGGGUGAACUGGGUGUAUCUGUGAAACUACAAAAACAAAUGCACCCUUUCCUUCAAGACUGACUUUUUUAAUGUACAGUUUAAUUAGUUCAUUUAUCAUUUUGGCGUAUUUACAAACCACACAUGCAAACACAUUUGAACAACCUCAAGCAUAUUGGCUCAAUGUACCAACAUCAGAAAUGACUAUCCAACGAAACACAACAAUACAGUCAUAUGUAUCUAUUCUAUCUAUAUAUUCUAUACAGCUGUGGGAAAAGCCCACAAACAAAGCAGCAGUAAGGAGUUUUGGGGUAUUAAACUAGCAAGCUAACUAUCUAAAAGGCAUGCAAAGGCCUUGCAAACAACAACAGCACAGUUGACACUGGUGUCUUUUGGAGAAAUAGUUGGCAACACUGUUCUGUCAAAAGAUUCCUUUUUUUCCAUUUUCACAGGGUUUCUGAGCCAGAUUACAGAACUGCAUAGUGCAUAGCCUGGGCAGCCAGUGGGGACAGCAGGUGUGUUUAUCGGUCUUUCACAUGACCAGAUGCCAUCAAAAUGAAUUUGAAGAUGAUACCAACACUAGUUACCUAUAGAAGCAUAGCUCAAAUAGUGGAACAUUCAUUCAUACAGGUGUUUUAAAUAUAAUGAAAAAUUCAUAUCAACUGAACUUCAUUACAUGAAAAUAAUGGAUGCAACUACCUGAGAUAAGAGAUAAGUGUAAGCGUAUGCAAGCUGUCCAUUUUACAGUUUCUUCCCUUUCUGGAUAUUCAAUGAACUUGCUCCAGGGAAUUGGGUCGGGGUAUAGCAAGACUACAGUGAGAAACUGCAGGGAACUGGAUCAUUAUAGGGUAUAGCAAGACUAAAGAGAGAAACUAAUUAAUCUGGGGGAAUUUUAGGUUUCAGUCAGGAAGUUGUGACAGCGAGAGUUCCUUCCUCAUUUUAACUGAAACAGGACUAAUGCGGUUAUUUACGGGUUAUAAACAGGCCGGUCAUGUAAUCUUGGUCUUUAUGCAGGAACUCACACAAGAAACUGGCAGGCAGUUGAGACUAUGGACCUGAGGUUUCAUAUAUGGAGUUCUUCCUCAUGAUGCCCUCAUCUGCUGAUGGAUCUGAAGCGAGUUCUCCAUCCCCACUGAACACAGGGUCAGUCUUCUGAUUGGUCAGCUGAAUGAGUGAGUACGUUGGUUCCUGCUCUCCCUGGCCCAUCGCAUAAGGGGAACCUUCAGGAAUAAUGACAACUAUAAUAACUUGCUUCGGUGAUAGCUGAUUUUCACUGUUAAAGCCAAACAUAUUCAUUUUCAAGAAGAAUAAAAAACACUCAGUGUUAAAAACAACACUUCUGGAAACUCACAGUCGUCGUCAUCCACUUCCUCCCCGUUCUGAAAUCUAAAGGAGACAGCAGUGAGGAAGGAUAGCAUGCAACCAAGAAAGGUACACACUGCCAAUGACAACUAGAACAAUAACUGUAAAUACUAUGGUUUUAAAUAUCACUCGAGCUUAUUACAAUGGCAACAACACAUUAUAACGAUAACGGAAUGAAGAACAGUUUCUUUGGGCAUCACUUUCAUAGCGAAUGUGCGAAUGAUAAAAAACUAAUAGCCAAUCAGAAUCCAUCAAAUUUGAAAGGCAUCACAUUAAAGCAUGACAUUCUAUUUCUGAGAUGUUUUCCCUAUGGUUGGUCAGUGUGGAUGUUCAUAUCUUCAUACUUCCAGUUGUCAUUACAGUUAUUGUUGGAUUAACAGCCCUUUUGUCAUUCAUUUACAGAGACCCACCUCAAUUAAAAUGAAUAAACAACAACAACCACAACAAUCUAAAAUGUUACCUUUGAGUUAUUGCAGUUUGAGAUACUGUAAAGACAAAACAAAAUAACAACUGAAUUGUAUGUUUAUGAUAAAAGAUCUCAUCAAAAAUACUACAUGUACAUGUUUCACCUGUGGUCUCAGCUGGUUUCCUUUUAAGCAGUAUGAUGAUGAUGAUGAUGACAGGGAGGAGGAGAAGAACGGGUACUAAUACACCAAUCACAUAGAUGAGAUGGGAAUCUGCAGGUUUUGGAAAAUAAGAUUGUGAUCCAACUUUAUCGGAGUCCUCGAACAGAGGCAAAUGCAUGCUGACCCACAUCAAGCUGUGCUUACCAGUACUAUCAUAUGCGGGGGGUUCCUAAAAAAAAAAGAUAAUUUUCUAGAGACAUAAUUUGUCUUGCAUUGCAGUGCAUUUACUUGGGCUCACUAUUAUUAUUCCAUUUUAAAUGUCAAACUGAACUUACCAGCAGUGGUAUUUACGGUGGUAUUUGAUUUGUCUUCAACACACAAACAUUAUCAUGUGAAAUGCUUUAGUUUAGUUUAGUUUACUUAAGUAUAUUGUCAAGAUUUUACCGUUAAUUAUUAAGUCAAGCACGUGAGGAUAAGCAUGGAUCACAUAAGACAUGAAUGUCUGGCUUUGGAAACCAAGUCCCAAGUGUAAAUAAUGGUUGUAUGUUUUGGUUUAUAAAAUACGCCUCCAACUAACUGUUCAAGCUCAACUGUUGAAGCACAAUGUGACUAAAUAAAAUGAGAGGAAAUAAAAUUUCAAGUAAGGUUCAUAGACUUACCAGGAUUAUCCAUAAUGACUGUAGUGUUGGUUAUUACUGCCCAGUACUGCUGACUAUUUGUGUUCACCAUUAAGACACACAGAUACUGUCCACGGUCUGACUGAGUGGCAUUGCUGAUCUUUAGGUUAUGGAUGUUGUCAUCAAGGGAGAGUUUUGAUGUGUUUGAUCUCCUUAACAGAAGAUCUUUGUCGAUGGCACAGUGGUGAUCAGCACCACUAUCAUAUCCAUCGUAAUCAAAGGAAUACACACAUGUGCUGCUCUGAGCUCCAGUCUUGAUCCAGUACACCACGAAAGGAUUAUUGGAAUAAUUCCCCUUUGUUUUAAAAGCGCACGCCAGAUUAAUUGAUUCUCUUCCAGACACAAGCACUGAGUUUUCCAUUACAGGUUUAGACACAACUGUGAACAAAGUGAAAUGUUGAAGUGAAAUAUACGAAAUGACAUGUAGUUCUGCUUGCUGUUGAUAUAAAGGGUAGGCUACAUUUACACUUACUGUCUGGUUCUGCCUGAGCAACAAUGAAGGACUCCACAUGGUGAGAAGAGGGUUUGAAUGGAUGCAUGAAGCAGGAGUCAGAUGUAGCAUUAACACAGGCAAAGAAUCCCCUCAUUACACAGAUUUCACAACCGGUGGGUUUGUUCUUCUUUAUCUUUUGGCAUAGGUCCUGUUUUCAUGCAGUGCAUUUUGAGUUAUUUGCAUAAUUACUGUCUAUGAAGCUGCAGUCCACUCUGUUGUCUGAAUUCACAUCAGCCUGCCAUUGACAUGUUUCACAGGACAGUGUUAACUCCUCCCCUUUCUUUAGGUAAUGAAAGUGAGUGGACCCUUCAAGAGAAAAGAACACAGUCAUUAAUUCAUGGUUACAUUUGUAAUUCCACCCUAUACUGUUAGCACAUCUUGAACCUGGCAAUUUAAAACUACUAUUAUUCCUUACUGUCAUUUAGCAAGGAACGUUUAUCCGCAUUUAGAAUAAAUUGAACAUCAUUAGUAUAAGAAAAGUCUGCUACCGUAGCAUUGUAUCAGGAAACAGCUUAGAAGAAUCAAACUUGGUGACUCCAUCUCAGCAAAG
Clupea harengus (Atlantic herring) is the source of this 3910-nucleotide long non-coding RNA. The record is from Ensembl. NCBI's taxonomy places the organism in Eukaryota, Metazoa, Chordata, Actinopteri, Clupeiformes, Clupeidae.